This 293-nucleotide ribosomal RNA is filed under the name uncultured bacterium. RNAcentral's name for it is "partial 16S ribosomal RNA". It matches the Rfam family "Bacterial small subunit ribosomal RNA", at positions 775 to 1067 of the family's 1533-position model. The record is from RNAcentral.
GGAUUAGAUACCCUGGUAGUCCACGCCGUAAACGAUGUCUACUAGUUGUCGGUUGUCUUGUACGACGGGUAACGCAGCUAACGCGAUAAGUAGACCGCCUGGGGAGUACGGCCGCAAGGUUAAAACUCAAAUGAAUUGACGGGGGCCCGCACAAGCGGUGGAGCAUGUGGUUUAAUUCGAAGCAACGCGAAGAACCUUACCAACUCUUGACAUCCAGAGAACUUGGUAGAGAUACCUUGGUGCCUUCGGGAACGCAGUGACAGGUGCUGCAUGGCUGUCGUCAGCUCGUGUUG